RNAcentral lists this ribosomal RNA (645 nucleotides) under uncultured bacterium. RNAcentral describes it as "bacterial SSU rRNA". It matches the Rfam family "Bacterial small subunit ribosomal RNA", at positions 254 to 916 of the family's 1533-position model. The record is from RNAcentral.
GAGGUAACGGCCCACCAAGGCGACGAUCGGUAGCCGGACUGAGAGGUUGAACGGCCACAUUGGGACUGAGACACGGCCCAGACUCCUACGGGAGGCAGCAGUGGGGAAUAUUGCACAAUGGGGGAAACCCUGAUGCAGCGACGCCGCGUGGAGGAAGAAGGUCUUCGGAUUGUAAACUCCUGUUGUUGAGGAAGAUAAUGACGGUACUCAACAAGGAAGUGACGGCUAACUACGUGCCAGCAGCCGCGGUAAAACGUAGGUCACAAGCGUUGUCCGGAAUUACUGGGUGUAAAGGGAGCGCAGGCGGGAAGACAAGUUGGAAGUGAAAUCUAUGGGCUCAACCCAUAAACUGCUUUCAAAACUGUUUUUCUUGAGUAGUGCAGAGGUAGGCGGAAUUCCCGGUGUAGCGGUGGAAUGCGUAGUUAUCGGGAGGAACACCAGUGGCGAAGGCGGCCUACUGGGCACCAACUGACGCUGAGGCUCGAAAGUGUGGGUAGCAAACAGGAUUAGAUACCCUGGUAGUCCACACCGUAAACGAUGAUUACUAGGUGUUGGAGGAUUGACCCCUUCAGUGCCGCAGUUAACACAAUAAGUAAUCCACCUGGGGAGUACGACCGCAAGGUUGCAACUCAAAGGAAUUGACGG